This is a long non-coding RNA of Osmia bicornis bicornis, 615 nucleotides long. RefSeq lists it as uncharacterized. The record is from RefSeq and is a predicted model, not a curated record. The transcript is spliced from 4 exons. Lineage: Eukaryota; Metazoa; Arthropoda; Insecta; Hymenoptera; Megachilidae.
UAUAGAAAAAGAAAUCAUAUUAUUACAUAUUGAUAUAUUGUACUUAACAACAUUAAUUUGAAAUAAAGGAUGUAUUGAAGAAUAUGUACAAGGUUUAAUAUUCCAACUGUAAUAUUCCAUUGUUCACGCUAAUUGGAAAAAGGAUUAAAACAUUUAGAAACAAAGAAGACUUAUGGAGAAAAGAUAGAAAAGGAUUUUCAACUACUUAAUGUUAAUGAAUUAAUGUUUUAUUUCACCAUAGAUGUCCGAGUAAGAGCAAACUGAAGGAUGAAUCGCUUAUUUCAUGAAGCAAAUACAGUCAGGGAAACUACGUAUAAGUUUUGACAGGAAGUAGAAUGCAAGAUCGAAUAAUGUUGUCCAGUAAUAAAUACGCGAAAGUUUAUUUGAGUUUAAUAGAACAUUUUAUGUUGCUGACAAUGGCAUGGCAUGGUACGUACAUUCAUACGUACUCUUGGCUACUCUUCCUAAAGUAGCAUGUAUCUCUGUACAAAAAGAAAAAGAGCAUAUAACAGUGGCUUUUCAAUAAUUGAAUAUGACAAUCAAAAUCAAAAUGGGGGUAUAUUCGCCAUUAUUUGAAGAUUUUGAUAGAUACAUUGAACAAAUUAUCAAAAAAAG